RNAcentral lists this ribosomal RNA (465 nucleotides) under Vreelandella stevensii. RNAcentral describes it as "partial 16S ribosomal RNA". It matches the Rfam family "Bacterial small subunit ribosomal RNA", at positions 338 to 795 of the family's 1533-position model. The record is from RNAcentral. Lineage: Bacteria; Pseudomonadati; Pseudomonadota; Gammaproteobacteria; Oceanospirillales; Halomonadaceae.
CCUACGGGUGGCAGCAGUGGGGAAUAUUGGACAAUGGGCGAAAGCCUGAUCCAGCCAUGCCGCGUGUGUGAAGAAGGCCUUCGGGUUGUAAAGCACUUUCAGUGGGGAAGAAAGCCUUGGGGCUAAUACCCUCGAGGAAGGACAUCACCCACAGAAGAAGCACCGGCUAACUCCGUGCCAGCAGCCGCGGGAAUACGGAGGGUGCGAGCGUUAAUCGGAAUUACUGGGCGUAAAGCGCGCGUAGGCGGUCUGAUAAGCCGGUUGUGAAAGCCCCGGGCUCAACCUGGGAACGGCAUCCGGAACUGUCAGGCUAGAGUGCAGGAGAGGAAGGUAGAAUUCCCGGUGUAGCGGUGAAAUGCGUAGAGAUCGGGAGGAAUACCAGUGGCGAAGGCGGCCUUCUGGACUGACACUGACGCUGAGGUGCGAAAGCGUGGGUAGCAAACAGGAUUAGAUACCCUGGUAGUC